Molecule: ribosomal RNA, 254 nt
Filed under: uncultured bacterium
Lineage: Bacteria
Description: partial 16S ribosomal RNA
Rfam family: Bacterial small subunit ribosomal RNA
Source: RNAcentral
UACGUAGGGUGCGAGCGUUAUCCGGAAUUAUUGGGCGUAAAGAGCUCGUAGGCGGUUUGUCGCGUCUGUCGUGAAAGUCCGGGGGCUUAACCCCGGAUCUGCGGUGGGUACGGGCAGACUAGAGUGCAGUAGGGGAGACUGGAAUUCCUGGUGUAGCGGUGGAAUGCGCAGAUAUCAGGAGGAACACCGAUGGCGAAGGCAGGUCUCUGGGCUGUAACUGACGCUGAGGAGCGAAAGCAUGGGGAGCGAACAGG